This 330-nucleotide long non-coding RNA is filed under the name Gossypium barbadense (sea-island cotton). RNAcentral describes it as "long non-coding RNA (GBAR_LNC002697)". The record is from RNAcentral. Lineage: Eukaryota; Viridiplantae; Streptophyta; Magnoliopsida; Malvales; Malvaceae.
UAUUGUUGAAGGGCUGCAAUGGUGAACGACCUUGCAAAUGUAGAUGGCUUUGGAGUUUUGGCAGAAGGCCCUGCAGUUACUUCAUUAGGUACAAUGGGUUUCACAAUGACCUUCUCAGCAAGUGCCGGAGGAGGUGGAGGGGGCGGAGGUGGGGGAGGCGGAGGCGGAGGAGGAGGUGGAGGGGGCUCCAUCAACAUAGCAUCGUAGCCACUCAUGUCUAUCUCAUGGUCAAAUCUCUUUGGCGUCGUGCCUAUCCUUUCAACAUUUCUCUCUUCCUUGUUCGGUAGCUUUGCAAUAGCCCCCAUUCUUCCCCUCUCUGUUUGAUUACCC